This 283-nucleotide ribosomal RNA is filed under the name uncultured bacterium. Its description in RNAcentral is "partial 16S ribosomal RNA". It matches the Rfam family "Bacterial small subunit ribosomal RNA", at positions 773 to 1060 of the family's 1533-position model. The record is from RNAcentral.
GUGGAUUAGAUACCCUGGUAGUCCACGCCCUAAACGAUGAAUACUCGCUGUUGGCGAUACACAGUCAGCGGCUAAGCGAAAGCGUUAAGUAUUCCACCUGGGGAGUACGCCCGCAAGGGUGAAACUCAAAGGAAUUGACGGGGGCCCGCACAAGCGGAGGAGCAUGUGGUUUAAUUCGAUGAUACGCGAGGAACCUUACCCGGGCUUGAAAGUUAGUGAAUUAUCCAGAGAUGGAUAAGUGAGCAAUCACACGAAACUAGGUGCUGCACGGUCGUCGACAGCU